GAUGAAGAACGUAGCGAAAUGCGAUAAGUAAUGUGAAUUGCAGAAUUCAGUGAAUCAUCGAAUCUUUGAACGCACCUUGCACCCUUUGGAAUUCCAAAGGGUAUGCUCGUUUGAGUGUCAUUGUACUCUCACACUCUCCGAUCCUAUGGAUUCGGGGAGCGGUGGACUUGGGUGUUGCUGCCUUUCCUUGUGGCUCACCUCAAAUGUGUCAGUGCACCUCUUGGUUGGACAUAGUACGGCGUGAUAAGUGUCUUCGCCGGCACCUCGCAAGAGGGUGGCCGAUCGGGAGCUCUGUGCUUUCAAACCGUCUUCGGACAAUUUCUGACAACUUGACCUCAAAUCGAGUAGGACUACCCGCUGAACUUAAGCAUAUCAAUAAGCGGAGGA
Molecule: unclassified non-coding RNA, 387 nt
Filed under: soil metagenome
Description: partial contains 5.8S ribosomal RNA, internal transcribed spacer 2, and large subunit ribosomal RNA
Rfam family: 5.8S ribosomal RNA (bases 1-120)
Source: RNAcentral